This 253-nucleotide ribosomal RNA is filed under the name uncultured bacterium. RNAcentral describes it as "partial 16S ribosomal RNA". It matches the Rfam family "Bacterial small subunit ribosomal RNA", at positions 524 to 776 of the family's 1533-position model. The record is from RNAcentral.
UACGUAGGGUGCAAGCGUUGUCCGGAAUUAUUGGGCGUAAAGAGCUCGUAGGCGGUUUGUUGCGUCGGCUGUGAAAUCCCGCGGCUCAACCUCGGGUCUGCAGUCGAUACGAGCAAACUAGAGUGUUGCAGGGGAGACUGGAAUUCCUGGUGUAGCGGUGAAAUGCGCAGAUAUCAGGAGGAACACCGGUGGCGAAGGCGGGUCUCUGGGCUGACACUGACGCUCAUGCACGAAAGCGUGGGGAGCAAACAGG